GACGAACGCUGGCGGCGUGCUUAACACAUGCAAGUCGAACGGAAAGGCCCUGCUUUUGUGGGGUGCUCGAGUGGCGAACGGGUGAGUAACACGUGAGUAACCUGCCCUUGACUUUGGGAUAACUUCAGGAAACUGGGGCUAAUACCGGAUAGGAGCUCCUGCUGCAUGGUGGGGGUUGGAAAGUUUCGGCGGUUGGGGAUGGACUCGCGGCUUAUCAGCUUGUUGGUGGGGUAGUGGCUUACCAAGGCUUUGACGGGUAGCCGGCCUGAGAGGGUGACCGGCCACAUUGGGAAUGAGAUACGGCCCGGACUCCUACGGGAGGAAGCAGUGGGGAAUAUUGAACAAGGGGCGGAAGCCUGAUGCAGCAACGCCGCGUGCGGGAUGACGGCCUUCGGGUUGUAAACCGCUUUCGCCUGUGACGAAGCGUGAGUGACGGUAAGGGGUAAAGAAGCACCGGCUAACUACGUG
Molecule: ribosomal RNA, 468 nt
Filed under: uncultured bacterium
Lineage: Bacteria
Description: partial 16S ribosomal RNA
Rfam family: Bacterial small subunit ribosomal RNA
Source: RNAcentral